RNAcentral lists this long non-coding RNA (1849 nucleotides) under Homo sapiens (human). RNAcentral's name for it is "HSALNT0186252". The record is from RNAcentral. Lineage: Eukaryota; Metazoa; Chordata; Mammalia; Primates; Hominidae.
GUGUUUGACUUCAACCAGAGUUGAAGAUCCCCCAUCUGCAAUACUGCUGCACCCCCACCUCAAGCCCCAGCUGAUUGAACCCCAGGUGGAUUCCUGAUUCAGGCAAUCCACAGGCUGGGCUGAAGCAAUCAUGAUGUCUCUCUAAGGAAUAUUAAUUAAAAGCCACAGAGACCCCAGUCAGUUUUAAGGAGGUGUGCCGCCAGAAACCAGGGUCAGCACCAUACCAAACCAAAGUUAUGGAGGAGUAAAAACCAAAAGUCUUGCAGAAGCAGCAGAUUUGGAGACAAAAAAAGCAGAACCCACAUGCAGAAAGAAAAGAGAGGCACCACGUGACCCUUGAGACAAAGUGACAGACAUUCCAGUGCUGCCAGACAGAUUUCCAGUAUCUGUGAGGUCCUGCUGUGCACCAGAGAAGAGAGUUCUGGGAAAACCCCUGCUAUGGGUUGAACUGUAUUCCCCAAACAUUCAUAUGUUGGAGCCUUAACCUCCAGGACCUUAGAAUGGGACCUUACUUGGAAAUAGAGUCAUUGCAGAUGUAAUUAGUUAAGCUGAGUUCCUACUGGAGUAGGGUGGGCCCCUAAUCCAAUAUAUUGUUGUCCUUAUAAAAAGGGGAAGUCUGGAGAAUAGUUAUCCUUCCAAGAUAAACUAUUUGCCAAAUAUGUAACAGAGUAACCAGCCAUUUCCAUAUGGGAUUUCUAGUCAUUUCCCAGUUAAAAAUUAAGGAAUAGGUACACGCAGUAAGAGCACUCAGUGAAGAUGAGGGCAGAGAUCAAGAUGCCACAUCUACAAACCAAGGAACACCAAAGAUUGCCAGAAACUAUCAGAAGCUAGGGGAAAGGCAUGGAACAGUUACUUCUUCACAGCCGUCAGAAGGAACCAACCCUGUUGACACCCGGACCUCAGACGUGAAGCCUCCAGAACCGUGUGGAGUGGCCAUAUAUAAAACCUGACUGUUACUCACAUAAAAUAUUGGCCUGAAACUCUCAGACUUCGAAGCAAGUAGCAGAUUUGGAUGGAAUACACCACAAAUUAAUAAAGCCAUAAUCUAGAGAAGAUUUGGACUGUGCCAGUGUAGAAGUUCUGGUUCCAAGAGGAUGAAUGUUUUCACAGGGGAAUACAGUAAAUUAUGCCUCUUACCGGUCACUUCAGGAUCCAUGUGCCAAGUAAUCAGAACCAAGGAAAGGGUCACAGUGACAGGUGUAAUUGAUCCUGAACAUCACAAAGAAGUAACUGCUCAUGUCAGCAGGAGGAAGACAUUUGGUUCUGGACUUUGACUUGGGACUCCCCUUGCCAAAUGUUGAUGGUAAAUGGACAAAAGCAACAGCCACAUCCUAAGAAAAGCGUGAUGACCAGGAACUCAAAUCUCUAAGAAAGAAGAGUCUAGGCUGUCCACAAGUAAGCCACCAGACCAGCAGAAGUACUAGCUGAGAGUUAAAACAUCUAGAAUGGAUAACAGAGGAGGGAGAAGUCUUCUCAUUCACCGACUGAAGCCUGCCCUGCAUCCAGAGAGCCCACUUAAAGAGACUCUGCAGCUAAGUUUCAAUUCCCGGGAUGGCAAAAAGACUUACUAUAAAAUUAAUUUUCAAAGACAUAUUUAGAAUCCUCUAUUUUCCUAUUCCAGAUGUAAAUUUUAAGAGAUGGUUUGAAGAAAAGGAUCCUUAAUAACGCAGUGAAAUGAAAGGAAGUUACUGCCAACAAGAGACUGUAGUUCAUGUAAAAUAUGUCCCACAUGGGUGUCCAGGGGAAAAGCUAUAGCAGUACAAGCAGUUAUUCUCCUCCUCUGAAAAGUUAUAAAAACAAAGCCAAACAAAAUAACAACAGCAAAACAGUCCACAAACAAAUCAAUGUC